Molecule: ribosomal RNA, 465 nt
Filed under: uncultured bacterium
Lineage: Bacteria
Description: bacterial SSU rRNA
Rfam family: Bacterial small subunit ribosomal RNA
Source: RNAcentral
GGGCCCGCACAAGCGGUGGAGCAUGUGGUUUAAUUCGACGCAACGCGAAGAACCUUACCCAGACUUGACAUGCAUCGGACGGGUGUGGAAACACACCUUCCCUUCGGGGCCGAUGCACAGGUGCUGCAUGGCUGUCGUCAGCUCGUGUCGUGAGAUGUUGGGUUAAGUCCCGCAACGAGCGCAACCCUUGUCCUUAGUUGCUAACGGGUCAAGCCGAGCACUCUAAGGAGACUGCCGGUGGUAAACCGGAGGAAGGUGGGGAUGACGUCAAGUCCUCAUGGCCCUUACGUCUGGGGCUACACACGUGCUACAAUGGCCGGUACAAAGGGUUCCGAUACCGCGAGGUGGAGGCAAUCCCAAAAAACCGGUCUCAGUUCGGAUUGCAGUCUGCAACUCGACUGCAUGAAGUUGGAAUCGCUAGUAAUCGCUGAUCAGCAGGCAGCGGUGAAUACGUUCCCGGGCCUU